UUUAUGGAGAGUUUGAUCCUGGCUCAGAGUGAACGCUGGCGGCGUGCCUAACACAUGCAAGUUGAGCGGGGUUUUGCAGAGUAUCGCAAAAUCUAGCGGCAAACGGGUGAGUAACACAUAGGAAACCUUCAUCAAAACGGGGAAUAUCUCCGAGAAAUCGGAGUCAAUACCGCAUAAGACCCCAGUUCGGCAUCGGACAGAGGUUAAAGUAGCAAUACAUUUUGAUAUGGUCCUGUGGUCUAUCAGCUUGUUGGUAGUGUAACGGACUACCAAGGCUAUGACGGAUAUCCGGCCUGAAAGGGUGAACGGACACACUGGAACUGAGACACGGUCCAGACUCCUACGGGAGGCAGCAGUGGGGAAUUUUGGACAAUGGGGGAAACCCUGAUCCAGCGACGCCGCGU
This 404-nucleotide ribosomal RNA is filed under the name Candidatus Ectomicrobium neotermitis. Its description in RNAcentral is "bacterial SSU rRNA". It matches the Rfam family "Bacterial small subunit ribosomal RNA", at positions 1 to 402 of the family's 1533-position model. The record is from RNAcentral. Lineage: Bacteria; Pseudomonadati; Elusimicrobiota; Endomicrobiia; Endomicrobiales; Endomicrobiaceae.